UCUUGCUCCGAUAACGUGCAAGUCAACUACGAUAUCCGUUCGUCCAGGUUCCAAUAUGAGUUUGAACCCACAGAAAUCCACGGCGAUAAUCGACAGAGAGGAAUGAAAGAAUGAAGGAGGACAGUGGGGGAUUACUGGAAAAUCGAUAAUCUCAAGGAAAUUUUCUAACAGAAAUGAAGGAAUGAAGGAAGAGAGACUGGGCGUGAAAGCGCAGAAGAGAAAGUUUGUGGGAGAAGACGACAGGUUAAUUUGGUCAAUUUUCAGCCAAAAGCACUUCAAGCUGAAGAAAAGAAGAAAUUUUUAGCUUCUCAUCUGGAGAGAAGUGCUUUUCUGAUGGUGAAAUAAUCUGGAGAGAAGGAGGUUGUUCUUCAUUCAUUUUAAGGGAAAAGGACUUUUUCAAUGAAAAGUCCUUCUAAAACGGGCAGAAGAACGGGGCCUAAAGCAUAUAAGGUUUUUGGAAUUCCUUUUGUGCUUUCUCUUUUGUCAAAAAAGACUUCUGUUCUGUUCGGUAUUUGUAGGGAAAAAAAAGAUAAUGUGUUUGUAUUUUUGUUUCCAUUCUAAAUUUUUUAAGGAAAGGGAGAUGAAGAAAAAGAAGAAAAGGGGGGAAGAAAAACUCUGCAACUAUAGGUAAUUUAUCCCGACUUUACCCUACUUUUUAAACCAUGGUAUGAGAUAGGCUGGUCUCCGAAUAUUUCCUUAACUGAAGAGAGGAAAACCCUAAUUUUGUCUCUCCCAAGAGAAGAAAGGAAGGGAAAA
RNAcentral lists this long non-coding RNA (756 nucleotides) under Gossypium barbadense (sea-island cotton). RNAcentral describes it as "long non-coding RNA (GBAR_LNC018680)". The record is from RNAcentral. Lineage: Eukaryota; Viridiplantae; Streptophyta; Magnoliopsida; Malvales; Malvaceae.